Long non-coding RNA from Halichondria panicea, 341 nucleotides. RefSeq lists it as uncharacterized. The transcript is spliced from 2 exons. Lineage: Eukaryota; Metazoa; Porifera; Demospongiae; Suberitida; Halichondriidae. The record is from RefSeq and is a predicted model, not a curated record.
UUAUUGAAAAUGAAAGUGAGUUAGAGGACAAGUGAUGACAAAUGAUAAAUGAGUUAACUUAAUAUGAAAAAACUAAAGUCAUGUAAAACCGAAUAUUCAUUCAUUAAAGUUUAGCUCCGAGUUGGCCAAGUCCACUGAAGGGUGAUUCUGGGACCUGGCUGGCUGUCCACGACUGGAGCGGGAUCCUCUGAUACAUUGAAUGGCGGAGCGUAGGAGAGAGAAGGGAAAGGCCACAUCAAGAAACUGGCUGAACAGAUAGUUUAUUUAGCCUUUUCUCUCUUUGUAUCUCUCAUUUCAUAAUCCAUAAACAUUUUAAUGAAUGAAUAUUUUCAUUUUAAAAA